Molecule: small RNA, 785 nt
Filed under: uncultured Acremonium
Lineage: Eukaryota; Fungi; Ascomycota
Description: eukaryotic LSU rRNA
Rfam family: Eukaryotic large subunit ribosomal RNA (bases 511-785)
Source: RNAcentral
CUUGGUCAUUUAGAGGAAGUAAAAGUCGUAACAAGGUCUCCGUUGGUGAACCAGCGGAGGGAUCAUUACAGAGUGUAAAGACUCCCAAACCCAUGUGUAUCUACCACUGUUGCCUCGGUGGGCUUCUAGGGGCCUGCCGACGGACAUUACAACUCUUCUGAAUAGUAAUUCUCUGAGUCAACUUUUAAAUAAGUAAAAACUUUCAACAACGGAUCUCUUGGUUCUGGCAUCGAUGAAGAACGCAGCGAAAUGCGAUAAGUAAUGUGAAUUGCAGAAUUCAGUGAAUCAUCGAAUCUUUGAACGCACAUUGCGCCCACUAGUAUUCUGGUGGGCAUGCCUGUUCGAGCGUCAUUAAGUCCACUCAAGCCCCCGGGCUUGGAAUUGGGAGACUACUUCGCUGUAGCUCCUCAAAGACAGCGGCGGAGUCGUGUCAUCCUCUGAGCUUAGUAAUUAUUUCUAGCUUGCGAGUGAGGCAUACCCCCUGCCGUAAAACACCCAUCUUUUUUUGGUUGACCUCGGAUCAGGUAGGAAUACCCGCUGAACUUAAGCAUAUCAAUAAGCGGAGGAAAAGAAACCAACAGGGAUUGCCCUAGUAACGGCGAGUGAAGCGGCAACAGCUCAAAUUUGAAAUCUGGCGCAAGCCCGAGUUGUAAUUUGUAGAGGAUGCUUUUGGUGCGGUGCCUUCCGAGUUCCCUGGAACGGGACGCCUUAGAGGGUGAGAGCCCCGUACGGUUGGACGCCUAGCCUCUGUAAAGCUCCUUCGACGAGUCGAGUUGUUUGGGAAU